This 492-nucleotide ribosomal RNA is filed under the name uncultured bacterium. RNAcentral describes it as "partial 16S ribosomal RNA". It matches the Rfam family "Bacterial small subunit ribosomal RNA", at positions 29 to 507 of the family's 1533-position model. The record is from RNAcentral.
AGUGAACGCUGGCGGUAGGCCUAACACAUGCAAGUCGAACGGCGGCACAGUAAGAGCUUGCUCUUACGGGUGGCGAGUGGCGGACGGGUGAGGAAUACAUCGGAAUCUACUUUUUCGUGGGGGAUAACGUAGGGAAACUUACGCUAAUACCGCAUACGACCUACGGGUGAAAGCAGGGGAUCUUCGGACCUUGCGCGAUUGAAUGAGCCGAUGUCGGAUUAGCUAGUUGGCGGGGUAAAGGCCCACCAAGGCGACGAUCCGUAGCUGGUCUGAGAGGAUGCUCAGCGACACUGGAACUGAGACACGGUCCAGACUACUACGGGAGGCAGCAGGGGGAAAUAUUGGACAAUGGGCGCAAGCCUGAUCCAGCCAUACCGCGUGGGUGAAGAAGGCCUUCGGGUUGUAAAGCCCUUUUGUUGGGAAAGAAAAGCAGCAGGUUAAUACCCCGCUGUUCUGACGGUACCAAAAGAAUAAGCACCGGCUAACUUCGUG